UGCAGUCGAGCGGACAGAAGGGAGCUUGCUCCCGGAUGUUAGCGGCGGACGGGUGAGUAACACGUGGGUAACCUGCCUGUAAGACUGGGAUAACUCCGGGAAACCGGAGCUAAUACCGGAUAGUUCCUUGAACCGCAUGGUUCAAGGAUGAAAGACGGUUUCGGCUGUCACUUACAGAUGGACCCGCGGCGCAUUAGCUAGUUGGUGAGGUAACGGCUCACCAAGGCGACGAUGCGUAGCCGACCUGAGAGGGUGAUCGGCCACACUGGGACUGAGACACGGCCCAGACUCCUACGGGAGGCAGCAGUAGGGAAUCUUCCGCAAUGGACGAAAGUCUGACGGAGCAACGCCGCGUGAGUGAUGAAGGUUUUCGGAUCGUAAAGCUCUGUUGUUAGGGAAGAACAAGUGCAAGAGUAACUGCUUGCACCUUGACGGUACCUAACCAGAAAGCCACGGCUAACUACGUGCCAGCAGCCGCGGUAAUACGUAGGUGGCAAGCGUUGUCCGGAAUUAUUGGGCGUAAAGGGCUCGCAGGCGGUUUCUUAAGUCUGAUGUGAAAGCCCCCGGCUCAACCGGGGAGGGUCAUUGGAAACUGGGAAACUUGAGUGCAGAAGAGGAGAGUGGAAUUCCACGUGUAGCGGUGAAAUGCGUAGAGAUGUGGAGGAACACCAGUGGCGAAGGCGACUCUCUGGUCUGUAACUGACGCUGAGGAGCGAAAGCGUGGGGAGCGAACAGGAUUAGAUACCCUG
This 749-nucleotide ribosomal RNA is filed under the name Bacillus sp. 8V. RNAcentral describes it as "bacterial SSU rRNA". It matches the Rfam family "Bacterial small subunit ribosomal RNA", at positions 56 to 789 of the family's 1533-position model. Lineage: Bacteria; Bacillati; Bacillota; Bacilli; Caryophanales; Bacillaceae. The record is from RNAcentral.